AUGGCGUCCAACCAGAACCAGGCGAGCUACCGCGCCGGCGAGGCCAAGGGCCACACCCAGGAGAAGGCUGGGCAAGUGAUGGGCGCGGCCGAGGACAAGGCCUACGAGGCCAAGGACCGGGUGGCGGCUCUGGCGGGCCACUCCUCCGGACAGGGGCAGGGCGCCACGGAGGCCACCAAGCACAAGGCCGGCGAGGCCACCGACAAGGCGUCCCAGACGGCGCAGGCGGCCAAGGACAGGGCUGCCGGGACGGCGCAGACAGCCAAGGACAAGGCCUCCGAGACCGCGCAGGCCGCCAAGGACCGCACCGUGGAGAGCAAGGACCAGACCGGCAGCUUCCUCGGCGAGAAGACGGAGAUGGCCAAGCAGAAGGCAGCGGAGACCGCCGAGGCGGCCAGGCAGAAGGUGGCGGAGACCGUGCAGUACACGCAGGAAAGGACCUACGACGGGGCGCAGUACGCCAAGGAGUCCGCCGUCGCCAGCAAGGACAACACCGGCAGCGUCCUCCAGCAGGCCGGCGAGACGGUGGUGAAUGCCGUGGUGGGCGCCAAGGAUGCCGUGGCCAACACGCUGGGCAUGGGCACAGAUGGCACCAACACCAACACCAGCGCCGCCACCAAGGACACCACCACCCGCACCUCAGAGGAGAUCGUCAGGGAUCACCAUUAG
RNAcentral lists this ribosomal RNA (669 nucleotides) under Triticum aestivum (bread wheat). RNAcentral's name for it is "partial small subunit ribosomal RNA". The record is from RNAcentral. Lineage: Eukaryota; Viridiplantae; Streptophyta; Magnoliopsida; Poales; Poaceae.